Long non-coding RNA from Sapajus apella (tufted capuchin), 213 nucleotides. RefSeq lists it as uncharacterized. Lineage: Eukaryota; Metazoa; Chordata; Mammalia; Primates; Cebidae. The record is from RefSeq and is a predicted model, not a curated record. The transcript is spliced from 2 exons.
AACAGAAUUACCAUUUGACCCAGCAAUCUCAAUACUGGGUAUAUACACCCAAAUGAAUAUAAAUAAUUCUAUAAAGACGCAUACAUUUGUGUGUUCAUUUCAGCCCUAUUCACAGUAGCAAAGACAUGGAAUCAACCUACAUGUCCAUUAACAGUGGACUGGAUAAAGCAAAUGUGAUACAUAUAUACCAUGGAAUAUUAGGCAGCCAUAAAA